Long non-coding RNA from Neltuma alba, 355 nucleotides. RefSeq lists it as uncharacterized. The record is from RefSeq and is a predicted model, not a curated record. Lineage: Eukaryota; Viridiplantae; Streptophyta; Magnoliopsida; Fabales; Fabaceae. The transcript is spliced from 3 exons.
UAGUGCGAGACACUAUUUGGACAGAUGUAUCGUCUACAUUUGAUAUAGAUGAGAGCAGGAAGAGGUUUGUGGAGGGGAAGGCUGGGAGGGCACUACGCUCUUUCCAAUAUUUUGUCACACACAAGUACUUGAAGGAUCCUUCCACAGCCGACGAGUCCCAUGUUCCUAGCUUGAUACGGGACUUGGUCAAACCAGAGGAUUGGGCUGCUUUUGUGACGUCACGUCGUGAUAGGCAAUUUCAAGAAUUAAGUUCCCAAAAUAAGGAAAGAGUAAAGAAGAAUGAGUAUCCCUACCGAAAGGGCCGCUUGGGUUAUGCGGGCCUUGAGCAAGAGGUGACUCAGCAGGAGGGAUCAGA